GUGCCAGCAGCUGCGGUAAUACGGAGGGUGCAAGCGUUAAUCGGAAUUACUGGGCGUAAAGCACACGCAGGCGGUUUGUUAAGUCAGAUGUGAAAUCCCCGGGCUCAACCUGGGAACUGCAUCUGAUACUGGCAAGCUUGAGUCUCGUAGAGGGGGGUAGAAUUCCAGGUGUAGCGGUGAAAUGCGUAGAGAUCUGGAGGAAUACCGGUGGCGAAGGCGGCCCCCUGGACGAAGACUGACGCUCAGGUGCGAAAGCGUGGGGAGCAAACAGGAUUAGAUACCCUGGUAGUCCACGCCGUAAACGAUGUCGACUUGGAGGUUGUGCCCUUGAGGCGUGGCUUCCGGAGCUAACGCGUUAAGUCGACCGCCUGGGGAGUACGGCCGCAAGGUUAAAACUCAAAUGAAUUGACGGGGGCCCGCACAAGCGGUGGAGCAUGUGGUUUAAUUCGAUGCAACGCGAAGAACCUUACCUGGUCUUGACAUCCACGGUAAGUUUUCAGAGAUGAGAAUGUGCCUUCGGGAACCGUGAGACAGGU
Molecule: ribosomal RNA, 536 nt
Filed under: uncultured Escherichia sp.
Lineage: Bacteria; Pseudomonadati; Pseudomonadota; Gammaproteobacteria; Enterobacterales; Enterobacteriaceae
Description: bacterial SSU rRNA
Rfam family: Bacterial small subunit ribosomal RNA
Source: RNAcentral